This 319-nucleotide long non-coding RNA is filed under the name Bos taurus (domestic cattle). RNAcentral describes it as "long non-coding RNA NONBTAT021714". Lineage: Eukaryota; Metazoa; Chordata; Mammalia; Artiodactyla; Bovidae. The record is from RNAcentral.
GGAUAACAGGACUAUGUAUUUUAAUAUUCUCCUUUUACAGAAGUGCAAAUUGUAUUUAAUGUAAAAGUGAAAAUGAUUUUCCUCAGGCUGGAAGUUCAUCUUUCUAUUAUUUAUCUUUUGUGAUAAAAGUGGCAUAUGCUAGAGUCCAUCUGGAUGGGCAACAGACCAAAACAAAUGACAUGAAACAGAAAUAUAUGCUACAUGCAAGGUGUUUUUAUGACCCAAUUUUCUUAAACUUGAUGCUAUGUAGAUUAUUAAUCAAUGAAUUUAUCAUUCAGUAAGUAAAUGUAUAUUCAAGUGUAAAAUGAAGUGGGAGAGG